UACGGAGGAUGCAAGCGUUAUCCGGAAUCAUUGGGCGUAAAGCGUUCGUAGGUGGCUAUUCAAGUCUGCCGUUAAAGAUUGGGGCUUAACCCUAAAGCGGCGGUGGAAACUGAAAGGCUAGAGUGCGGUAGGGGUAGAGGGAAUUCCCGGUGUAGCGGUGAAAUGCGUAGAGAUCGGGAAGAACACCGGUGGCGAAAG
This 198-nucleotide ribosomal RNA is filed under the name uncultured prokaryote. Its description in RNAcentral is "partial 16S ribosomal RNA". It matches the Rfam family "Bacterial small subunit ribosomal RNA", at positions 524 to 721 of the family's 1533-position model. The record is from RNAcentral.